UACGGGGGUGGCGAGCGUUACUCGGAUUUAUUGGGUGUAAAGGGCAGGUAGGUGUCCCUACAAGUUAGAAGUGAAAUCCUAAGGCUUAACCUUAGAACUGCUUUUAAAACUGUAGGGAUUGAGGCCGGCAGAGGAGAGUGGAAUUCCCGGUGUAAGGGUGAAAUCUGUAGAUAUCGGGAGGAACACCAGUGGCGAAAGCGACUCUCUGGGUUGGCCCUGACACUAAGCUGCGUAAGCUAGGGGAGCAAACAGG
This 253-nucleotide ribosomal RNA is filed under the name uncultured bacterium. Its description in RNAcentral is "partial 16S ribosomal RNA". It matches the Rfam family "Bacterial small subunit ribosomal RNA", at positions 524 to 776 of the family's 1533-position model. The record is from RNAcentral.